GAUGAAGAACGUAGCGAAAUGCGAUAAGUAGUGUGAAUUGCAGAAUUCAGUGAAUCAUCGAAUCUUUGAACGCACAUUGCGCCCGAAGCCAUUAGGCCGAGGGCACGCCUGCCUGGGUGUCACACACCGUUACCCUCGCGCCAACGUCCAUCGUUGGCCGCGGCGCGGGGCGUGCGCUGACCUCCCGCGAGCGGGGUCUCGUGGUUGGUUGAAAAUCGAGUUCGCGGUCGAGGGUGCCGUGAUGAAAUGGUGGAUGGGCGACGCCCGAGGCCAAUCACGCGCGACUCUGUCCGGCUCGGACUCCUGGACCCCUUCGGCGUCUCCGGACGCUCUUUGGCGAGACCUCAGGUCAGGCGGGGCUACCCGCUGAGUUUAAGCAUAUCAAUAAGCGGAGGA
RNAcentral lists this unclassified non-coding RNA (396 nucleotides) under soil metagenome. Its description in RNAcentral is "partial contains 5.8S ribosomal RNA, internal transcribed spacer 2, and large subunit ribosomal RNA". The stretch from base 1 to 122 matches the Rfam family "5.8S ribosomal RNA", at positions 35 to 154 of the family's 154-position model. The record is from RNAcentral.